RNAcentral lists this ribosomal RNA (550 nucleotides) under uncultured bacterium. Its description in RNAcentral is "bacterial SSU rRNA". It matches the Rfam family "Bacterial small subunit ribosomal RNA", at positions 355 to 896 of the family's 1533-position model. The record is from RNAcentral.
UAGGGAAUCUUCCGCAAUGGGCGAAAGCCUGACGGAGCAACGCCGCGUGAGUGAUGAAGGUCUUCGGAUCGUAAAACUCUGUUAUUAGGGAAGAACAUAUGUGUAAGUAACUGUGCACAUCUUGACGGUACCUUAUCAGAAAGCCACGGCUAACUACGUGCCAGCAGCCGCGGUAAUACGUAGGUGGCAAGCGUUAUCCGGAAUUAUUGGGCGUAAAGCGCGCGUAGGCGGUUUUUUAAGUCUGAUGUGAAAGCCCACGGCUCAACCGUGGAGGGUCAUUGGAAACUGGAAAACUUGAGUGCAGAAGAGGAAAGUGGAAUUCCAUGUGUAGCGGUGAAAUGCGCAGAGAUAUGGAGGAACACCUGUGGCGAAGGCGACUUUCUGGUCUAUAACUGACGCUGAUGUGCGAAAGCGUGGGGAUCAAACAGGAUUAGAUACCCUGGUAGUCCACGCCGUAAACGAUGAGUGCUAAGUGUUAGGGGGUUUCCGCCCCUUAGUGCUGCAGCUAACGCAUUAAGCACUCCGCCUGGGGAGUACGACCGCAAGGUUG